Long non-coding RNA from Grus americana (Whooping crane), 303 nucleotides. RefSeq lists it as uncharacterized. The record is from RefSeq and is a predicted model, not a curated record. NCBI's taxonomy places the organism in Eukaryota, Metazoa, Chordata, Aves, Gruiformes, Gruidae. The transcript is spliced from 3 exons.
CUGAUGCAAAAGCUGCAGAACAAGUCCAUGAAGAAAAUGGGGAUUUGGAGGUCCGCCAAAGCUGCAGGCUUUGACAAAGCCAUUACACCACUACAAAUCAAUCUGUUUUAUUUGACAAACUUAUAACAAAUACUGCAGAAGCAGUCUUGCAAAAAAUGGAUGACAUGGAGAAGAUGCGUAGACGGCGAAUGAUGGAAGACCUUGGGGUGUUCCACGAUGAGAACCUCGAUAUGUAUGCACAAGGAAAGAAAGAAAUCCAAAGAGCUGACAAAGAAAUAGCUGAUAAUCAAGGUGGCAUUGUAG